GUUUACAUAGUCAUUCAGUAUUAACUCCAUAUCCCCCCUCUUGGCAGUUUCAGUGGUUGCCUUUUGUCAUUCCUGAGAUUUUAUCAUUGUUGUUCAUGAUGUCAACUGCCUUGUCGCAAUCGCCAUGAUUUGUUUUUAUGCCAGCUAGAUUACUAUGAUCAAUGUAGUGCUCUAAAAUUUGUGUGGAAAGUGAUGCCAUCAUAUAGUCUCGUGCCAAGGUAAUUUCUUUCUACUGGGUCUUUCUAAAAAUUCAGUUGUGUAAAAUUUUGUGUUACUUAUUGGUAUCAAGAAGUUUAAUGCACCUCAGUUAAAAGAGGAAUUGACAAAAACAUGCUGCUCUAGGAUCAUGUAUUGAGCGAAACUCUGCUUCAAAACAUAAGCUCAUGUUCACUUGUUAUUCAGUUGUAUAUUAUCGCUAAUUGUUUUUUUGUUCAUCUAGAAUUUUGAAGUAAAAUCUAAACUUGAAAGCGAGCAAUCUCUCUGAAGCUAACAUCAGAAAUGUUUUAUGAGAUUUGUAAGGUGCUACGCUAUGUGCGUUUUGCGUAUGGUUCGUAUUGUUAGCACUGUUAGCACGGGCUAAUGUGUAUUCACUUUAUUGCCUUUAAGAUUUGUUGUAUCGUUAGCACGAGCACUUUACUUUGUGGAGAAAAGGCUCUGAGACUAAGCACCAAGGGGUUGGGAGACUUUUUUGUUAUUGGAAUUUGCAUCAAUCAAUAUUAUAAAAAUAAGGAAAUUCAUGACAAUUUAUAUAGUGUUGAUAUUUGCAAUGUUGCCCUGGUUGAUGUCACCUUUUAUGCUUAUAACCAUUUUGUCUACCCAUGACUUCCUACAAUAUUUUUACAUUUCUUAAUUCUUGUUUUGUGGAGUUACCAGUUCAUUUAAAGAUUAUUUGGAUUUAUCUAGCUAUUUUUGAGCUUACUUGUUUUCUACUUGUACUUAAAGGCAGAUAAGCUAGAGGAGAAAAGAAGUAACAAAUUUGAUGCUGGAUUACUCAGUUAGGAUAGCAAUAACUCAUACCCCUAAAUUCCUUAGAUUGCCACAAUGAGCCUGAGUGCAAGAAUGUGGUCUGCAAUUCGCGGGUCAGGGAGUCAUCGUUGGCCUCAUUGACACAGGAAUAGAUCCAACCCACUCUAGCUUUGUAGACUAUCUAUCAACUGAUAGUUAUCCAGUACCUGCUCACUACUCUGGCAUUUGUGAGGUUACAAAUGAUUUUCCAUCGGUAUCCUGCAAUAGAAAGCUCGUGGGGGCUCACCAUUUUGUAGCAUAUGCAAUAACUAGAGGAGUCUUCAAUGCGUCUCAAGAUCUUUCAUCACCAUUUGAUACUGAUGGCCAUGAGCUGCUAUGAUGACCGGUUAUUCGGACGUCGCACUGCCUACACAGUCUCUUGGCCUCUUGUGUUCUUACCAUAGUGCUGGACUGCUGGUGACUGAUAAAGAGCGCUCUUUCCACAUUAUGUUCUUUCUAGUGGUGCUACCCCUGGUACUGGGGGACUGGGGAGGGCCUUUCCGACUUUCCGUAGUAUAUUCUUUCUAAUAAAGAGCGCUCUUUCCUGAGAAGUCUAUGUUGUUGCUGGAGUGCAAACCAGCAGGUGCUUCCAUGUUUGCUUCUUUGCAAAUCAAAAUAAGUCGCCCAUGUAUUUUACUUCUGAAAAUCUUAACCUAGAAUAAUUUUGACUUCUUUUUUACUUCUGAAAUCUGCACUGUACUGGUUUUACUUCUUUUUUUGGUUCCUCAUUUUUUUGCUCAUGAGGCUUGUUCAUUAGGUGUUAAUUAUACUACUAUUCUGAUUCCGAUAAGAACAUAUUGUAUCUGACUUAGAAUCACACAUAGAACUCAUUACACCCAUCUAUCUCUGAAAACAAAUAUCAUUUCUAAGUAUCCAAAUACACAAAAUAGGAGAUGCAGAAAUCACAUUUAGCAUACCAUUUCUUCUGUUGCUUAACCAAAAUUUUCCUAUAUGGUAAGGGAGGCCCAUAUUUGAGCUGCCGUCACACACUCAAAGAUCAUUACUGGUGGCUUUUCAGUAGCCUUAUGUUUGCACUUUGAAUUUCUGUUUUCUAGAUUCUUUUUAAUGGUUACCGUGUCUUUUAACAUGCCAAAACCAAUAUGAACUGCAAUAGAUAGCAUGAUAGACACAGGAAAAAAUAUCAAUAUAAAAAAGGAUAUUUUUUGCGCCUUCUGUAAGCUACAUUUUACUAGAUGGUAGUAUAAUUGAAAUUUGAAUAUUGUACAUCAAUCUAAAGUUUGUACACGAUGUUCAGUUCUAAAGUUUGUUUUGUGGAUCACAUAGUUAAAUUAUUGUUCUUUUUUUUUGCUUUAUUGUGAUUCAGAGUUGAAGUGAUAUACUACGAUUUGUGAUUCAGAAGAAGACAUACCACGAUUCAGAAGAAGACAACACAUUUCCUUCCGGCCCAUUUUGCAACCUGCAUGUAUUGAGGGAGCUUC
Molecule: long non-coding RNA, 2444 nt
Filed under: Zea mays
Lineage: Eukaryota; Viridiplantae; Streptophyta; Magnoliopsida; Poales; Poaceae
Description: long non-coding RNA (ZMAY_LNC000716)
Source: RNAcentral